UUCCUGGUAGCUCAUACAGUAAAGAAUCCACCUUCAAUGUGGAAGACCUAGGUUCGAAACCUGGUUGGGAAG
RNAcentral lists this transfer RNA (72 nucleotides) under Bos taurus (domestic cattle). It matches the Rfam family "tRNA". From Rfam's summary of the family: Transfer RNA (tRNA) molecules are approximately 80 nucleotides in length. Their secondary structure includes four short double-helical elements and three loops (D, anti-codon, and T loops). The record is from Rfam by way of RNAcentral. RNAcentral also lists the same sequence under 1 other name. Lineage: Eukaryota; Metazoa; Chordata; Mammalia; Artiodactyla; Bovidae.